RNAcentral lists this ribosomal RNA (243 nucleotides) under uncultured Patulibacter sp. RNAcentral describes it as "partial 16S ribosomal RNA". It matches the Rfam family "Bacterial small subunit ribosomal RNA", at positions 505 to 750 of the family's 1533-position model. The record is from RNAcentral. Lineage: Bacteria; Bacillati; Actinomycetota; Thermoleophilia; Solirubrobacterales; Patulibacteraceae.
GUGCCAGCCGCCGCGGUAAUACGUAGGGCGCGAGCGUUGUCCGGAAUCAUUGGGCGUAAAGCGCGUGUAGGCGGCUGAGUAAGUCUGCUGUGAAAGUCCAGGGCUCAACCCUGGGAUGCCGCAGAUACUGCUUGGCUAGAGUACGGGAGGGCGAGUGGAAUUCCUGGUGUAGCGGUGGAAUGCGCAGAUAUCAGGAGGAACACCUAUGGCGAAGGCAGCUCGCUGGAACGUUCUGACGCUGAG